RNAcentral lists this long non-coding RNA (557 nucleotides) under Pan troglodytes (chimpanzee). Its description in RNAcentral is "lincRNA". Lineage: Eukaryota; Metazoa; Chordata; Mammalia; Primates; Hominidae. The record is from RNAcentral.
AGUCAGGGAACAUCUGUCCCUUCUUCGUGAAUAUCUGUGUUCAAGUCUCUUGCUCAUUUGUUAAAUUGGGCUUUUCAUCUUAAUUUUGAUUUGCAGUUUUCUCCCCUAUAUCCGAGGUCUGAGUCCUUUGUCAGGACACACAGUGUGAUUUCUUGCCUGGCAUUCCGUUCCUUGCUUGUCCAUUUUCAAGAGCAGAACAUUUUCACGUUGAUGGAAGCCCGAUGUCUUUCUUCUACGACACAGGUGGUGGCCAGACCUGGCACACGGAUGCAGCUGACCCUGGAAGCUGAAGGGCAGUGAAACCCAUCUGAUUAAGAUGCUCAACUUUUCUGAAGAAAAAGCUGACACCUGCCUAAGGUCACACCAUCAUGAGUGGCUGAGUUGGGCUGUGAUGAGCCACCCGGCUGGAGAGCUUGUGCCCUGGUUACACGAUUGCCAGUGAGAUGCCUAUGAACUCGCAUGUAGAGGUGGGUACCCAGACAGCUCAGAGUGAGCUGCCUGCGGGCCCAGCAUGCAGAGGUGUGUACUCAGUGCUGUGUGAGAUGCCUGUGGGCCCA